This 64-nucleotide transfer RNA is filed under the name Sternaspis buzhinskajae. RNAcentral's name for it is "tRNA-Met". Lineage: Eukaryota; Metazoa; Annelida; Polychaeta; Terebellida; Sternaspidae. The record is from RNAcentral.
AGUAAGAUAAGCUAAAAAAGCUACUGGGCUCAUACCCCAGGAAUGAGAAUUUUCUCUCCUACUA